CUGCCACAGGCCCCUCACUAGCUUCAUCCGGUGCUGGUUGUGACCGCAAAGAGCUUCACAGACUAUCGGAUUCCUCCUCCUGUGUAGCUAAACAAAUAUUUAACUUGACGCGAUUCUCAGGCUCACUUUGCCCGGGAGCCUCUCGCGUGCGUCCAUCGAACGAAUCGGAGGCCACGUGGUCGUGAGGACAGCCUGGGGCCUGGUGGUCACGUGGCACGAGGGCGGGGCCGUGUCCGUGUGGGCGUUGCCCGGCGACGCGGGGGAGGGGCCUGGAGGGGCGGGGCUCUGCGGGCUGUGCGGGAACGCGAACGGAGACGCCAGCGAUGACCUCACCACGAGCUACGGCGUGCUGGCUGAUGAUGCUGCCGAGUUGGCGUUCAGCUGGAGAUCCGGGGGGGCUCUGGGGGGGCCGCCCCUCCCCGCGUGCCCCCCACGAAUAUUAAACCCCCCACACCCAUGUGUAGGGGUCCCCGUGGAGGCGCUCCGUGUGCGCUGCCUGCAAGCGCUACGCUCCCUGGGCCUCUCCCGGUGCCACAGCUCCACCCCCAGCGAGACUCACCUGGACAGCUGUACUCUCGACCU
This is a non-coding RNA of Petromyzon marinus (sea lamprey), 582 nucleotides long. Lineage: Eukaryota; Metazoa; Chordata; Hyperoartia; Petromyzontiformes; Petromyzontidae. The record is from RefSeq and is a predicted model, not a curated record.